GGACUACCGGGGUAUCUAAUCCUGUUUGCUCCCCACGCUUUCGCGCCUCAGCGUCAGUUACGGUCCAGAGAGCCGCCUUCGCCACCGGUGUUCUUCCCAAUAUCUACGAAUUUCACCUCUACACUGGGAAUUCCACUCUCCUCUCCCGUACUCCAGCCUCAGAGUAUCAAAUGCCAUUCCCAGGUUGAGCCCGGGGCUUUCACAUCUGACUUCUAAGGCCGCCUGCGCGCCCUUUACGCCCAGUAAUUCCGAACAACGCUCGCCCCCUUCGUAUUACCGCGGCUGCUGGCAC
RNAcentral lists this ribosomal RNA (292 nucleotides) under uncultured Alphaproteobacteria bacterium. RNAcentral describes it as "partial 16S ribosomal RNA". Lineage: Bacteria; Pseudomonadati; Pseudomonadota; Alphaproteobacteria. The record is from RNAcentral.